UCCGCAGGCGGUCUUGUGUGUCGGGUGUGAAAGCUCACGGCUCAACCGUGGAAUUGCAUUCGAAACUGCAAGACUAGAGUACUGGAGGGGAGAAGGGAACACUUGGUGUAGCGGUGAAAUGCGUAGAUAUCAAGUGGAACACCGGCGGCGAAGGCGCUUCUCUGGACAGAUACUGACGCUCAUGGACGAAAGUUAGGGUAGCGAAAG
RNAcentral lists this ribosomal RNA (207 nucleotides) under uncultured bacterium. Its description in RNAcentral is "partial 16S ribosomal RNA". It matches the Rfam family "Bacterial small subunit ribosomal RNA", at positions 568 to 774 of the family's 1533-position model. The record is from RNAcentral.